Molecule: ribosomal RNA, 248 nt
Filed under: uncultured bacterium
Lineage: Bacteria
Description: partial 16S ribosomal RNA
Rfam family: Bacterial small subunit ribosomal RNA
Source: RNAcentral
CGGAGGUGCGAGCGUUAAUCGGAAUUACUGGCGUAAAGCGCAUGCAGGUGGUUCAUUAAGUCAGAUGUGAAAGCCCGGGCUCAACCUCGGAACCGCAUUUGAAACUGGUGAACUAGAGUGCUGUAGAGGGGUAGAAUUUCAGGUGUAGCGGUGAAAUGCGUAGAGAUCUGAAGGAAUACCAGUGGCGAAGGCGGCCCCCUGGACAGACACUGACACUCAGAUGCGAAAGCGUGGGAGCAAACAGGAUU